UGUAAAUUUUAGGAUACACCUGUAUAUACAGUGGUUUUGCUGGAGUUUGGGUAGAAAAUGCAUUGAGUCUAUAGACCAAGCAAGAGAGACUUGAAACAAAGCAAUCUUCAAAUCUGGAAGUGUAGCAUUUUAUAAUAUUUUGACUUUUUUUAUCUUUCAUAUAUUUGGCUUGACAUAGUUUUGUGGGAUUUGGGUAUGAUUUUAUCUUUUUUUGUCAUUUCUGAUUCCACUGUUUUAUUCUUAUGUAUGGAAAUAUAUUUUACUGUGAUAGGCUUCAGAUUGUGUAGUCCUGUUAAGAGUCAUAUUAAAUUUCAAUGCUUUUAGGUAGGCAGAGUCAUGGCCUUGCAGUUAAAAGGGUGUUGCCUUUGCAGUGAACCCAAGUGUAGUUCCUACUACCACCACUGGGUGGCUCACAACUGCCUUUAACUCCAGCUCCAAAGGAUCUGUUGUCCUCUUUUCUCCUUGGUGGGCAUGUGCCCUCACAUGCGUGCCUACCCAUCCCCCACACAUAAUUAAAGGUAAAAAGUCUUUUAAAAAUUCUAGUGAUUUGUUUAUACUUUCAGAUCACCCUUUAUAGAAUAUUGUCAAAUGCAAAUAAAUAGUUUCACUUUUUUUCUAAUCUAUUUCCAUUUUCUCAUAUUGAACUAUCUAGGAAUGGUCAAGUAGGAGUGAUAAGAAAUACUUGCCUUUGUGAUCUUUGAGAAGGGUUAUUUUAUCAAUUCUGUAGCAUCAGCUAGUUUUGUAUAAAUGCCCUUGGACUGAGCGUCUCUGAAUAUUGAAUUUUUUCUUUAUAUUUAUUGAAAUGACCAGCUUUUUAAAACUUUAGUAGAUUACAUUGAUUACUGAAAUAACUUUGCCCUUUUUGGAUAAAUUGCAUAUCUGUCUUUAUCUAAAAUAUUUUAUUUAAAUUCAGCUUUCUAUUGUGUUGAUAAAUUUUGCAUCUGCUCUUUUGGGCAUAUUGUUCUGUGGGGUUUUUCCAUAGUCUUGGUUGAUUUGGGUUUGUGAGUAAUGCAAGUAUGAAUUGAAAAGGCUUUCUAGGCUUAAAGAAAUGGCACAGGAGUUCUUGCUGCUCUUCCAGAAGACCUGAUUAAGAUCCCAGCCCCACAUUGGGUAGCUCACAACUUCCUGUAGCUCCAUCUACACCAACUGUGUAGGGAGUGAUCCAACACCCUUGCUGGCCUUUCCAGACACUUGUAAACACAUACAUUAGAAAAAUCUAUACCUUUGAAAAAUCUUCUCUAAAAGCAAUUUCUGAAGGGUUUUUUUUUUUUAAUUAGGAUUUACUGGUUUAAAAAAAGC
This 1299-nucleotide long non-coding RNA is filed under the name Mus musculus (house mouse). Its description in RNAcentral is "long non-coding RNA chr16:45192381-45193680". Lineage: Eukaryota; Metazoa; Chordata; Mammalia; Rodentia; Muridae. The record is from RNAcentral.